Molecule: ribosomal RNA, 608 nt
Filed under: uncultured bacterium
Lineage: Bacteria
Description: bacterial SSU rRNA
Rfam family: Bacterial small subunit ribosomal RNA
Source: RNAcentral
CCUACGGGAGGCAGCAGUAAGGAAUAUUGGUCAAUGGACGCAAGUCUGAACCAGCCAUGCCGCGUGAAGGAUUAAGGCCCUCUGGGUUGUAAACUUCUUUUAUAGGGGACGAAAAAAGGGCAUUCUUGCUCACUUGACGGUACCCUAGGAAUAAGCACCGGCUAACUACGUGCCAGCAGCCGCGGUAAUACGUAGGGUGCAAGCGUUAAUCGGAAUUACUGGGCGUAAAGCGUGCGCAGGCGGCUUUGCAAGACAGAUGUGAAAUCCCCGGGCUCAACCUGGGAACUGCAUUUGUGACUGCAUGGCUAGAGUACGGUAGAGGGGGAUGGAAUUCCGCGUGUAGCAGUGAAAUGCGUAGAUAUGCGGAGGAACACCGAUGGCGAAGGCAAUCCCCUGGACCUGUACUGACGCUCAUGCAACGAAAGCGGUGGGGAGACAAACGAGGUAAUUAGACUACCCUAGGUAGUCCACCGACCCUAAAACGAUGUACAACUGGUUGGUUGGGUAGGGUUUCUUCUCAGUAACGAAGACUAACGCGUAGAAGUUGACCGCCGUGGGGAGUACGGCCGCGUAAGGUUAGUAAAACUUAAAGUUAGUAAGUUAGACGG